This 388-nucleotide ribosomal RNA is filed under the name uncultured bacterium. RNAcentral's name for it is "bacterial SSU rRNA". It matches the Rfam family "Bacterial small subunit ribosomal RNA", at positions 28 to 417 of the family's 1533-position model. The record is from RNAcentral.
GACGAACGCUGGCGGCGUGCUUAACACAUGCAAGUCGAGCGGUAAGGCCCUUUCGGGGGUACACGAGCGGCGAACGGGUGAGUAACACGUGGGUGACCUGCCCUCAGCUCUGGGAUAAGCCUGGGAAACCGGGUCUAAUACUGGAUAUGACUCCAUGACGCAUGUUGUGGGGUGGGAAGCCUUGUGCGGCUGAGGAUGGGCCCGCGGCCUAUCAGCUUGUUGGUGGGGUGANGGCCUACCAAGGCGACGACGGGUAGCCGGCCUGAGAGGGCGACCGGCCACACUGGGACUGAGACACGGCCCAGACUCCUACGGGAGGCAGCAGUGGGGAAUCUUGCGCAAUGGGCGAAAGCCUGACGCAGCGACGCCGCGUGUGGGAUGACGGCCU